GACGAGGGAUCCUAGCGUUGUUCGGAAUCAUUGGGCGUAAAGCGGAUGUAGGUGGCUUUGUAAGUCAGGUGUGAAAGCCUGGGGCUCAACCCCAGAAGUGCAUUUGAUACUGCGAAGCUUGAGUGUCGGAGAGGUUACUAGAAUUGUUGGUGUAGUGGUGAAAUACGUAGAUAUCAACAGGAAUACCGGAGGCGAAGGCGGGUAACUGGCCGAACACUGACACUGAGAUCCGAAAGCGUGGGGAUCAAACAGG
RNAcentral lists this ribosomal RNA (253 nucleotides) under uncultured bacterium. RNAcentral's name for it is "partial 16S ribosomal RNA". It matches the Rfam family "Bacterial small subunit ribosomal RNA", at positions 524 to 776 of the family's 1533-position model. The record is from RNAcentral.